RNAcentral lists this ribosomal RNA (253 nucleotides) under uncultured bacterium. RNAcentral describes it as "partial 16S ribosomal RNA". It matches the Rfam family "Bacterial small subunit ribosomal RNA", at positions 524 to 776 of the family's 1533-position model. The record is from RNAcentral.
GACGGAGGAUGCAAGCGUUAUCCGGAAUGAUUGGGCGUAAAGCGUCCGCAGGUGGCAGUUCAAGUCUGCUGUCAAAGACCGGGGCUUAACUUCGGAAAGGCAGUGGAAACUGAACAGCCAGAGUAUGGUAGGGGCAGAGGGAAUUCCUGGUGUAGCGGUGAAAUGCGUAGAGAUCAGGAAGAACAUCGGUGGCGAAGGCGCUCUGCUGGACCAUAACUGACACUCAGGGACGAAAGCUAGGGGAGCGAAUGGG